Molecule: ribosomal RNA, 576 nt
Filed under: uncultured bacterium
Lineage: Bacteria
Description: bacterial SSU rRNA
Rfam family: Bacterial small subunit ribosomal RNA
Source: RNAcentral
ACGGGUGAGUAACACGUGGGUAACCUGCCUCAUAGAGGGGAAUAGCCUUUCGAAAGGAAGAUUAAUACCGCAUAAGAUUGUAGUGCCGCAUGGCAUAGCAAUUAAAGGAGUAAUCCGCUAUGAGAUGGACCCGCGUCGCAUUAGCUAGUUGGUGAGGUAACGGCUCACCAAGGCGACGAUGCGUAGCCGACCUGAGAGGGUGAUCGGCCACAUUGGGACUGAGACACGGCCCAGACUCCUACGGGAGGCAGCAGUGGGGAAUAUUGCACAAUGGGGGAAACCCUGAUGCAGCAACGCCGCGUGAGUGAUGACGGUCUUCGGAUUGUAAAGCUCUGUCUUCAGGGACGAUAAUGACGGUACCUGAGGAGGAAGCCACGGCUAACUACGUGCCAGCAGCCGCGGUAAUACGUAGGUGGCAAGCGUUGUCCGGAUUUACUGGGCGUAAAGGGAGCGUAGGUGGAUAUUUAAGUGGGAUGUGAAAUACUCGGGCUUAACCUGGGUGCUGCAUUCCAAACUGGAUAUCUAGAGUGCAGGAGAGGAAAGUAGAAUUCCUAGUGUAGCGGUGAAAUGCGUAGA